This is an RNA transcript of Triticum aestivum (bread wheat), 1507 nucleotides long. RefSeq lists it as uncharacterized. The record is from RefSeq and is a predicted model, not a curated record. NCBI's taxonomy places the organism in Eukaryota, Viridiplantae, Streptophyta, Magnoliopsida, Poales, Poaceae. The transcript is spliced from 4 exons.
ACCAGCCACCCACCACCGCUCACUCCCAGCUCUCACCGCCCACUCUCUCCUCCUACUCGUCGGCAGCGAUGGCCAUGGGUGGCGGUUGCCUUUCCAAGAGCCAGCGCCUCUCGCCCCCGUUGGGCCCGCACCGACGCGAACUUCAUCCCUGCCCCCGCCGCACCGGUGCCGUGCAGUUCGGGAUGGGCUCCAUCCCGGAUGCCCCCGGGAUCCCGUUCCGCGCCGUGGAGACCCGGCCCACCCCGUGCUCGCCCGGAUGGCGCUGAAGGACGCCGGUGAGAUGAAUAUGGGGAACCCCCGCGGUGGACCACGACGGCUUCUUCUUCGCCACCGAGCUCCAGGCCAUCGUCCGCUGCCACCCUCGCUGCCGCGGGCCUCGAUACAGGGGAUUCUGCCGAAGUAUUUCAGCUCAGAGUGGUCAUUUGCUUGGAUCGAUUUACCAGAAGUCUUACAUCUUAACUUUUGGUGCUCAGAACAUUGUACUGAUUCUUGAUGGCAGCGCAGAGCAAAUCCAUGAGGUUGAUGUAUUCUUUUGUAGAACAAUACAAAGGAUGAAGGAAAUCGGCAGAACAAUAUCACGGAAAGAUAAUAACUAUAUAGCCGCUUGAUGCAGGUGACACCAGGACAGUUCCAACAGAGCAGAUUCAUUGCGUAUGGCGGGGCUGCUCCACUGCAGCCUCCGCCUGAUCCGCUGAUCUCAAGGGAAUAAGGUUGAGUUCCGUCUUCUGCUUCUUAUAAGAAUCAUUGUUCCCUUCUUCAUACAUCUGACACAAAGUUGUACCUAGAUCGCUUGUAUUCAGAUUGUUUCCACCCAAGACAAUGGCCUUACUGUUGUUGUCUAGCUUCAUCUUCAGUUCUGUGUUUGUGGCUGUCCCUUUGGGUCUAUAUACCUUUGUUUGCUUCCUUUUUUGCCCAGCAACACGUAUAUCUGUAGACACUGAAGUAAAAGGUUCCUUACUCGCCGUGCCCUGUUCCACCUUAUUAUUUAUUUUUUGAUUCUGCAUCUUCAGCUUCAUGGGAGACGUGACUACGUUUCUCUCUUGCAAUUCAUCAGCUUUUGGUUCGACAAUAUUGGCUUUAGCAGAGGGGUGGGAUCCCCCUUUUUCGUCAUCACAGUGUGAACAUCUGCCACUUGAUUGUGAACUUUGCGUUGAUCUGGAACCUGAAAAGCUCUUCUUCUUAUCAUCAUUUACACACAGGGAGCUUACCCAGCAUCCCUCUCACCUGGUGUUGGGCAUUCCAUAGAAGAGUGUCCCAGCAAGACACAUGGGAAGCAGUAAUGUGGAAGCCUCUCAUACACUACCUCAUAAGUGUCAUAUUCUUGGUGCUUUUUGGAAUAUAAGCUGUAACCCACCUUAACAGACAGUGGCGGACCCAGGAAUUGAAGCUAGCCGGGGCGAAUAUUUAAGGUCAAUUUUUUUGGAUGCAAAUACACGUGUACUGAACCAAAAGUCAUGGCAUUCAACUACUAAAGUCAUGAAAAGGCAUAAAAAGUUAUUAGAAACCA